GACGAACGCUGGCGGCGUGCUUAACACAUGCAAGUCGAACGGAAAGGCCUUUUCGGAGGUACUCGAGUGGCGAACGGGUGCGUAACACGUGGGUGAUCUGCCCUGCACUCUGGGAUAAGCCUGGGAAACUGGGUCUAAUACCGGAUAGGACCGCACUUUAGUGUGUGUGGUGGAAAGUUUUUUCGGUGUAGGAUGAGCCCGCGGCCUAUCAGCUUGUUGGUGGGGUAAUGGCCUACCAAGGCGGCGACGGGUAGCCGGACUGAGAGGUUGGUCGGCCACAUUGGGACUGAGAGACGGCCCAGACUCCUACGGGAGGCAGCAGUGGGGAAUAUUGCACAAUGGGCGCAAGCCUGAUGCAGCGACGCCGCGUGGGGGAUGACGGCCUUCGGGUUGUAAACUCCUUUCGCCAGGGACGAAGCGUUUUGUGACGGUACCUGGAGAAGAAGCACCGGCUAACUACGUG
RNAcentral lists this ribosomal RNA (463 nucleotides) under uncultured bacterium. Its description in RNAcentral is "partial 16S ribosomal RNA". It matches the Rfam family "Bacterial small subunit ribosomal RNA", at positions 28 to 507 of the family's 1533-position model. The record is from RNAcentral.